RNAcentral lists this ribosomal RNA (462 nucleotides) under uncultured bacterium. Its description in RNAcentral is "partial 16S ribosomal RNA". It matches the Rfam family "Bacterial small subunit ribosomal RNA", at positions 28 to 507 of the family's 1533-position model. The record is from RNAcentral.
GAUAAACGCUGGCGGCGUGCUUAACACAUGCGAGUCGAACGAAGUUUUUCUUUCGGGAGGAACUUAGUGGCGGACGGGUGAGUAACGCGUGGGUAACCUGCCCUGUACAGGGGGACAACAGCUGGAAACGGCUGCUAAUACCGCAUAAGCCCUUAGCACUGCAUGGUGCAUAGGGAAAAGGAGCAAUCCGGUACAGGAUGGACCCGCGUCUGAUUAGCCAGUUGGCAGGGUAACGGCCUACCAAAGCGACGAUCAGUAGCCGAUCUGAGAGGAUGUACGGCCACAUUGGGACUGAGACACGGCCCAGACUCCUACGGGAAGCAGCAGUGGGGAAUAUUGCACAAUGGAGGAAACUCUGAUGCAGCGACGCCGCGUGAGUGAAGAAGUAUUUCGGUAUGUAAAGCUCUAUCAGCAGGAAAGAAAAUGACGGUACCUGACUAAGAAGCACCGGCUAAAUACGUG